UGCGUAGGCGGAUAAAUAAGUCAGAGGUGAAAUCCUACAGCUUAACUGUAGAACUGCCUUUGAUACUGUUUAUCUUGAAUUAGGUUAAGGUCAGCGGAAUGUGGCAUGUAGCGGUGAAAUGCUUAGAUAUGCCAUAGAACACCAAUUGCGAAGGCAGCUGGCUGGGCCUUAAUUGACGCUGAGGCACGAAAGCGUGGGGAGCGAACAGGAUUAGAUACCCUGGUAGUCC
Molecule: ribosomal RNA, 229 nt
Filed under: uncultured bacterium
Lineage: Bacteria
Description: partial 16S ribosomal RNA
Rfam family: Bacterial small subunit ribosomal RNA
Source: RNAcentral